Molecule: ribosomal RNA, 429 nt
Filed under: bacterium
Lineage: Bacteria
Description: partial 16S ribosomal RNA
Rfam family: Bacterial small subunit ribosomal RNA
Source: RNAcentral
UAGGGAAUCUUCCACAAUGGACGCAAGUCUGAUGGAGCAACGCCGCGUGAGUGAAGAAGGUUUUCGGAUCGUAAAGCUCUGUUGUUGGUGAAGAAGGAUAGAGGUAGUAACUGGCCUUUAUUUGACGGUAAUCAACCAGAAAGUCACGGCUAACUACGUGCCAGCAGCCGCGGUAAUACGUAGGUGGCAAGCGUUGUCCGGAUUUAUUGGGCGUAAAGCGAGCGCAGGCGGAAGAAUAAGUCUGAUGUGAAAGCCCUCGGCUUAACCGAGGAACUGCAUCGGAAACUGUUUUUCUUGAGUGCAGAAGAGGAGAGUGUAAUUCCAUGUGUAGCGGUGGAAUGCGUAGAUAUAUGGAAGAACACCAGUGGCGAAGGCGACUCUCUGGUCUGCAACUGACGCUGAGGCUCGAAAGCAUGGGUAGCGAACAGG